AAUUGAUACUGGCGUAAUUUUACCAUAUCAAACUCGUUGCCUAAAUCCUCCUCUAUUAAAGCAUCUUCCUCAUCUUGAUCAGACUCAUUGUUAUCAAAACCAAAUUUUUGAGCCUCAUGCAAUUCGGCGCUAGAAGGUUGAUUGUCAGCUGGAGUAAAUAUAUCACGUGGAGGACCCUGAACAUGUUCCGCAGCCAUUCUGGAUUUUCCAAAUUCACUGGGAUAAAUCGACACUUUCAGUAACUUCCCACCAGGAGGACAAAAAGAAGAAAGAGCAACAAAAAGAUCAACUGCUUGAAGAUUAUCCCAAUCCAUGUUUACUACAGCAAGACGGUUAGUUUCUGAACCACGAGGAAUAUUCUCUUCUGGCUCGAUUCCAGCUAAUUCGGAUAUCUCCGGUUGAGCUUCAGUUUCACUUUCAGCGUCGCUUUCAUCGCUACUUUCCGAAGUACUAAUAAUUCCCUCACCACGAGCUGGAUCAUAUACUUCCUCAUCUUCGGACUCCUCAUCGGUUAAUUCUUCCGAUUUUGUGGAUUUCGAAGACGCUGAAGCGACUUCUUCGUUGUCAGUAAUUUCCGAUGAUUCAGACGAACUGGACGACCCUUCAUUUUCCAGUUCAUACAGUCUAUCAAUCUCUUUAGUAGCCUUAUCUUGGUUGAGAGGACGGCCAUAUCGAUCAACACUGGCAGUAGUUUUAAAGUCCUUAUCCUCCUUGAGAGAUUUAAACCGCUCAUCAACUUUUACUUUAAAAUUGCCACGUUUAAGUCUAGAAAAUCUAGGAUCAGAGUGAACUGAUUGAAAUCUAGGAUCCGCAACUACGUUGCUUUCACUCCUUGAUUUAGCAUUAAUAGGCUUCGUCUGCUUUUUGCCC
Molecule: non-coding RNA, 870 nt
Organism: Schizosaccharomyces pombe (fission yeast)
Lineage: Eukaryota; Fungi; Ascomycota; Schizosaccharomycetes; Schizosaccharomycetales; Schizosaccharomycetaceae
Source: the annotation of a GenBank genome assembly